Molecule: ribosomal RNA, 148 nt
Filed under: Amanita muscaria (fly agaric)
Lineage: Eukaryota; Fungi; Basidiomycota; Agaricomycetes; Agaricales; Amanitaceae
Description: partial 28S ribosomal RNA
Rfam family: Eukaryotic large subunit ribosomal RNA
Source: RNAcentral
UUGACCUCAAAUCAGGUAGGACUACCCGCUGAACUUAAGCAUAUCAAUAAGCGGAGGAAAAGAAACUAACAAGGAUUCCCUUAGUAACUGCGAGUGAAGAGGGAAGAGCUCAAAUUUAAAAUCUGGCAGUGUUUUGCUGUCCGAGUGU